CUUUUGAACAAGCACUUGUUGAGUUUCUGAAGUGUUUCAGGUUGUUUGUGCAGUUUGUGACACUAAGCAGCCGAUAAGAAAACAACAGUUUCAUUGUGAUGAUUGCGGAAUCUGUAGGGUUGGUGGUCAAGAGAAUUAUUUCCACUGCGAGAAGUGUGGGUCAUGCUAUUCAGUUACACUGCGUGACAAUCA
Non-coding RNA from Arachis ipaensis, 192 nucleotides. The record is from RefSeq and is a predicted model, not a curated record. NCBI's taxonomy places the organism in Eukaryota, Viridiplantae, Streptophyta, Magnoliopsida, Fabales, Fabaceae.